AUUGAACGCUGGCGGCAUGCCUAACACAUGCAAGUCGAACGGCAGCACAGGUAGCAAUACCGGGUGGCGAGUGGCGGACGGGUGAGUAAUGCAUCGGGAUCUACCCAAACGUGGGGGAUAACGUAGGGAAACUUACGCUAAUACCGCAUACGUCCCAUGGGAGAAAGCGGGGGCUCGCAAGACCUCGCGCGGUUGGACGAACCGAUGUGCGAUUAGCUAGUUGGCGGGGUAAUGGCCCACCAAGGCGACGAUCGCUAGCUGGUCUGAGAGGAUGAUCAGCCACACUGGGACUGAGACACGGCCCAG
Molecule: ribosomal RNA, 306 nt
Filed under: uncultured bacterium
Lineage: Bacteria
Description: bacterial SSU rRNA
Rfam family: Bacterial small subunit ribosomal RNA
Source: RNAcentral